Pelodiscus sinensis (Chinese soft-shelled turtle) is the source of this 2410-nucleotide non-coding RNA. The record is from RefSeq and is a predicted model, not a curated record. NCBI's taxonomy places the organism in Eukaryota, Metazoa, Chordata, Testudines, Trionychidae.
CAGCAGGAGAAAAAUUAAUCAUAAAAAAAAAUAUUAUUAUUCCAGGGGGAAAAAUGGCGGAUUAAAAUCCAAGAUGGCGGCGGCAAGGGCCGAACUCUGUGGGGGGAAGAGCCGCCUAGAGAUCCAUCCGCCAGGCCCCGCGAGAAAGAGUCCCUUGGGCCCCCUCACAGAGACCCUGCGGAGCGGUGGCGCUACGGUCACCGCCUCCUGCUUCUCCGUGGGGAGCCCCUCGGCACUUCGCUCGCGCACUCAGAGCAGCCUCCACCGCGUGCCGAGGUCCCGUCUCUCCCUGCCAGCCCCGCUGCCGCCUCACACAAUCAGGCGAGGCGCCUCCUGUCCGUGUGCUCCAAAGCGGCGGAAGAACACGCCAAGCUCUAGUCCUGCAAGAUCGCUCCUCGCGGCGGAGGAAUACGCCUCAAAAUAAAUCCCUUCUAGUGCUUCACGCUACUUCCCAGAGCGACGGCGCAGCGCCGAAUGGGUCUCUCCGCCUGCGCUUCCCCCGAGGCAGAGGAACAGGAUGCGGGGCGACUCCCAUGACCUCUCCAGGCUGUUUAUGAGCCGGGCGGAGGGAUUCACAAUCACACUGAAACAAGUCCCGGCUCCAUCCCAGUGUUAGGGGCGGCCGCGGCGGAGCACGGAAAGAAGUCUCGGUCGGUAUUAGAACCUGAAGGGAUCCCUCCGCUUCCGACGGCCCUUUAAAUACCGGUCACUGGCAACAGCGGAAGGAAAAUGAAUCCUCCCCACCCUUGGAUAUGGGAGCGAGCGAGUCGAGGCCUGUCGUCGGAUCCUGGGGGGGGGCUUAUCAGCAACACCCCUCACCGCUGUCCCAGCCCCGAGGAGCUCUAGCCACCUCUCCAGAUCCCCACCCGUGUGUGUCAGGGCAUGGGGGAGGUCACUUCCUCAGUGCUUGGGGGAGCUGUCCAGCAUGUGGUCAACUGCCCCUCCAGGCUCUGCGUGAAGCUCUGCUGACUGCCACCGUCCUGCUUUGGUUUCCAACCCAGAUCCCCAUAAUCAGAGAUUCCACCUUCUGUGUCAACUCCCUUAUGGGUGGCGCACUGACUUGCCAAAGUCUUCCAGGGUGACUUUUAAUGUCCACACAGAUAAACCACAAACCUCUGCUGGGCCUGGCUUCAGCAAGGUCUGGGUCAUGAUUAUCUGAGGAAGUCCUUAUGUACUGCCUUAAGGCUCUAAAUCUUAGGGCAAAUCAACACUACAAAGAUGGCAGGGUGCCCCUUACUUCUUCCCUGCCCUUUCCCUAUGCAAUAGAGUUGCCUUUCUCUUGCCUUCCCCCAACCUCUACUCGCAAGGGGAUCUCUUGUUUUUAAAAAUGCUGUGUCACUUAGAUGAACUGCUAUUCCCACUUGGCUUAAAGUAAGGCAACUCCAUAUUCUAUGCAGGUGGAGUUGUAUACCUUAAGUCAAGCUGCUGGGUCUAGUGUAGACCUGGCCCAAGGUAUUUUAAUCACAUCUCAUCACUUGCAGAAUUUUGUUUUAAAUCUCAGUUUGAAUUAUACAAGCAAACAAAAAAGUAUCUCAAACAGGGUUCUCUAAUAUGGAUUUCAUCAUUGUGGACAGUGCUGAAGGGAGUUAUGAAGACUGAGGUUCUCUGUCCACAGGCAUCACCCCUGCAAACUUUCCCUGACAAUGCACACCGAUACUGACCAUUUCACUAUUUUGAAAACACAUGAGUGAUUUUGUCCAGAGAUUGAUCCACAGCUAGAUAAUUCUGCUUAUCCUGGUGAUAGAUUGUCAUUCUCUCUCUUGGACCAUUUACACAAAAAAGCCAAAUGCAAAUCAGUUCUGCUGUUAGCUCCAACUUUACUUCACCAAUGGAUCAAACAAAUCUGCCAAAAGUGACUUGACUCUACCCAAAGAAUUAAAAAUAAGAUGGGAGAAGAGGGAAUAUUUCUAAACCAGCCGAAGUUUAUAAGUAGUUUUGAAGAAGACAAAACAGGCUCCAGGAAUUGUUUCAGUGGGCUUUGGACCAAAACCACAAGUCAGGGUGAAUCUGUUGACUUCAGAGAGCCCAUUGUUUCCAUUCCAGUAACAUUCAGUAGCCCCAAACUGAGCAGGGUCCCAAUGCGUUAAGCACUGUACAAAUGUACAACAAAGCAUUUCCGAAGAGUGAGAAAAGGUUUGUCCUUUAUUUUUUCUUCAUUCUGAAAUAAAACAUUGUCAUCAUGCCUGUCCUAAAAUUCUCUAUGAACUUAUUUUAUUCAAUGUCACAUGGGCCUUGACUUUGCUUCCUUUCCAGUUCCCUUUGCUCAUCUGGCACUGUGUAGAAGACAAAAGACCAAUCAGAUCUCUAGUGAUACAUCAGCCUUUUCUGCAGUUCCUGAGUCAGUUCUGAAAUAAGCUUGGCAUAGUCAUUUUGGACCUCAGGAGAAAGCAUUUUUUUCCUUUCUUAAAAU